RNAcentral lists this ribosomal RNA (492 nucleotides) under uncultured bacterium. RNAcentral describes it as "bacterial SSU rRNA". It matches the Rfam family "Bacterial small subunit ribosomal RNA", at positions 38 to 529 of the family's 1533-position model. The record is from RNAcentral.
GGCGGCGUGCUUUACACAUGCAAGUCGAGCGAGGCGUCCCGCAAGGGAUAGUCGAGCGGCGAACGGGUGAGUAACGCGUGGAUAACCUGCCCUGAGGUGGGGGAUAACCAAGGGAAACUUUGGCUAAUACCGCAUGAUACCGAGAGGUCAAAGGGGGCUCGCAAGGGCUCUCGCCAUAGGAGGGGUCCGCGUACGAUUAGCUAGUUGGUAGGGUAAUGGCCUACCAAGGCGACGAUCGUUAGCCGGCCUGAGAGGGUGAUCGGCCACACUGGAACUGAGACACGGUCCAGACUCCUGCGGGAGGCAGCAGUGGGGAAUUUUGCGCAAUGGGGGAAACCCUGACGCAGCAACGCCGCGUGGAGGAUGAAGGUCCUUGGAUUGUAAACUCCUGUCAGCAGGGAAAAAGCAACUUGACCUCCUACGUCAGGGAGUUGAUUGUACCUGCAGAGGAAGCCCCGGCUAACUCUGUGCCAGCAGCCGCGGUAAUACAGA